Molecule: ribosomal RNA, 348 nt
Filed under: uncultured bacterium
Lineage: Bacteria
Description: bacterial SSU rRNA
Rfam family: Bacterial small subunit ribosomal RNA
Source: RNAcentral
CAGGUUUGAUCCUGGCUCAGGAUGAACGCUAGCUACAGGCUUAACACAUGCAAGUCGAGGGGCAGCAUGUUGGUUGCUUGCAACCAACGAUGGCGACCGGCGCACGGGUGAGUAACGCGUAUCCAACCUACCCUUGUCCAUCGGAUAACCCGUCGAAAGGCGGCCUAACACGAUAUGCGGUUCACAGCAGGCAUCUAACGUGAACGAAAUGUGAAGGAGAAGGAUGGGGAUGCGUCUGAUUAGCUUGUUGGCGGGGUAACGGCCACAAGGCUACGAUCAGUAGGGGUUCUGAGAGGAAGGUCCCCCACAUUGGAACUGAGACACGGUCCAAAACUCCUACGGGAGGCA